Molecule: long non-coding RNA, 229 nt
Filed under: Rattus norvegicus (Norway rat)
Lineage: Eukaryota; Metazoa; Chordata; Mammalia; Rodentia; Muridae
Description: long non-coding RNA NONRATT032834
Source: RNAcentral
CGGGAGCCUGAUUCCAGAAUGGCUGCCUGCUCCACCCUGGCCCAGGACGCUCAGCUCUGACCUCCAGUUUGGGAUCUGGCCCAACUGUUGAGCUUUCUGCUUGCCACUUGCCCCAUCUGACAGGACCCCGUGACGUCACACACGGAUCUGUGUUAAACUCACAGCCAGGGCGAGGCACAGGGCUAAACCGAUCCAGGCCACUUCCAGUUGAAUUUGGAGCAAACACGGC